Molecule: transfer RNA, 18 nt
Filed under: Prionailurus planiceps (flat-headed cat)
Lineage: Eukaryota; Metazoa; Chordata; Mammalia; Carnivora; Felidae
Description: partial tRNA-Arg
Source: RNAcentral
UGAUAAUUAGUUUAAACU